GCGGAGGAUCAGGCCACGCAGAGCGGCAUAGAAGGACUCCUUCGCCUCCUCCGAGGCGUCCAGGGUAGGUGCAUAGGCGCUGAUGAUCACAAGGGAUUGGGAUUGACACAGAGCUCGUCCGCUCCAGAAGAAGGUGUACCAGUGCCGAGGCUCCUCGAUCUGCCCGGCACCAGGGAGACGGGUCUCGGAGAGGGCCACAAUGUCCAGGCCGAGCUUCUGAAUCUCAAGGGCGAUGAGGGCAGUCCUGCGCUCCGGUCUAUUUGCUCUUGCAUUGUCCAUCAGGGAUGAAUCUGCUGGAGGCGGGUCUCCAGCCGAUCGGUGGCGGUGAUGGGCGUGUUUAGGCCGCCUUUUAUUGGCCCUUCCUCGGAUUGAGGGGAGGAGCGCUACGACUAAAGAGUCCUGCUCUGCCACCGUGGUUGCUGCCUCUCCCCUGCACCAUCACCAGUUCGCA
Molecule: long non-coding RNA, 451 nt
Organism: Hippocampus zosterae (dwarf seahorse)
Lineage: Eukaryota; Metazoa; Chordata; Actinopteri; Syngnathiformes; Syngnathidae
Exons: 3
Source: RefSeq, a predicted model, not a curated record